GUGGGUAUAGUUUAAGGAAAACCCUAGAUUGUGAUUCUAGAAAUGGAGGUUAAACCCCUCCUGCCCACC
This 69-nucleotide transfer RNA is filed under the name Pelophylax cf. terentievi GM87-239. RNAcentral's name for it is "tRNA-His". It matches the Rfam family "tRNA". From Rfam's summary of the family: Transfer RNA (tRNA) molecules are approximately 80 nucleotides in length. Their secondary structure includes four short double-helical elements and three loops (D, anti-codon, and T loops). Further hydrogen bonds mediate the characteristic L-shaped molecular structure. tRNAs have two regions of fundamental functional importance: the anti-codon, which is responsible for specific mRNA codon recognition, and the 3' end, to which the tRNAs corresponding amino acid is attached (by aminoacyl-tRNA synthetases). tRNAs cope with the degeneracy of the genetic code in two manners: having more than one tRNA (with a specific anti-codon) for a particular amino acid; and 'wobble' base-pairing, i.e. permitting non-standard base-pairing at the 3rd anti-codon position. Lineage: Eukaryota; Metazoa; Chordata; Amphibia; Anura; Ranidae. The record is from RNAcentral.